GCUGGAAUGAUGAUGGAGUCUUCUGUGAUCUGGGCAGUCCCACUGACAGAUCAUCUUUAUGCAGUGUGCCACAUCAACCCUGAUAAAACAAGGAGGAAGUUUUGCAGACUGGUUCCCAAGUAGCAAACGGAAGCAUUCGUUAAUGUAUGUCUUCAGAUCGGGCAUUUGCACAACUGGGACUGAGCAGUUGUCCCCUGUCAGAACGCCUUGAUAUAAGAAGAUGUGGCCAGAUGUACCAUUUGGUCUCACCAGUCUUCUCACAACUGAGCCAGUUGCGUCAAAGCAAACUACUGAGGGGCUUUUUUUGGACAAUGCCUUAUACACAUGUAGCUGUGUUUGACUCCAAUAGUGG
Long non-coding RNA from Girardinichthys multiradiatus, 352 nucleotides. RefSeq lists it as uncharacterized. The transcript is spliced from 3 exons. The record is from RefSeq and is a predicted model, not a curated record. Lineage: Eukaryota; Metazoa; Chordata; Actinopteri; Cyprinodontiformes; Goodeidae.